GUGGGGAAUAUUGCACAAUGGGGGAAACCCUGAUGCAGCGACGCCGCGUGAGUGAAGAAGUAUUUCGGUACGUAAAGCUCUAUCAGCAAGGAAGAAAAUGACGGUACUUGACUAAGAAGCCCCGGCUAACUACGUGCCAGCAGCCGCGGUAAUACGUAGGGGGCAAGCGUUAUCCGGAUUUACUGGGUGUAAAGGGAGCGUAGACGGUAUGGUAAGUCAGAUGUGAAAGCCCGGGGCUCAACCCCGGGACUGCAUUUGAAACUAUCAGACUAGAGUGCAGGAGAGGUAAGUGGAAUUCCUAGUGUAGCGGUGAAAUGCGUAGAUAUUAGGAGGAACACCAGUGGCGAAGGCGGCUUACUGGACUGUAACUGACGUUGAGGCUCGAAAGCGUGGGGAGCAAACAGGAUUAGAAACCCGAGUAGUCC
RNAcentral lists this ribosomal RNA (425 nucleotides) under uncultured bacterium. RNAcentral's name for it is "partial 16S ribosomal RNA". It matches the Rfam family "Bacterial small subunit ribosomal RNA", at positions 354 to 796 of the family's 1533-position model. The record is from RNAcentral.